UCUUGGCUAGUAUAUCGGUUAGUACACGCGCUUGUCACGUCUUGCGUAUGCAACGUAAUCAAUUCGCGCGAAAGCUGGGUUCGACUCCCAGGUCGAGAG
This is a non-coding RNA of Mycena leptocephala, 99 nucleotides long. The record is from the annotation of a GenBank genome assembly. Lineage: Eukaryota; Fungi; Basidiomycota; Agaricomycetes; Agaricales; Mycenaceae.